AUCCAAUCACCUCCCACCAGGCCCCACCUCCGACACUGUGGAUUACAAUUUAACGUGAGAUCUGGACAGGGACAAGGAUCCAAACCAUUGCCUUGCUGAAUUCACUCCCAUGACCCCCACAUGCUUGGGUCAGGAUGCAUGAAGCUGAAAGCACAUGAAGUCCUCUCCAUGCUCUUCUGCCUUUGGUCCUAACUGUCCUCAGGGGAAGCGACUCUGAAGGCCAAGAGCUUCUUUGUGGAAGACCGAGGCAGGACCUGUCUUCAUUCAACUGAGGCCUGAAAUCAACUCGAGACCAGACCACCGCCAAACACCCUCC
Long non-coding RNA from Rhinopithecus roxellana (golden snub-nosed monkey), 316 nucleotides. RefSeq lists it as uncharacterized. The record is from RefSeq and is a predicted model, not a curated record. The transcript has 3 exons. Lineage: Eukaryota; Metazoa; Chordata; Mammalia; Primates; Cercopithecidae.